CUUUGAUUUUGCUUCAGGGUUAGGUUUGGGUUAAAUUAUUCCAAGUGAUUCCAAUUAAGCAAUCCUCAUGUGUAUCUCUUUAAGCUGUGACCAGGAAGAUCUAAGAAGGUUCUAUGGCAUUUUGGAACUUUUCUCCCUGACUUGAUUGUAUUUGAAGUUUUGCCAAAAUGAAAAAUCAAGACCUGUGCCUUGGGGCAGAGCUGUAGAGCUACGUCAUGACGCUUGGUUUUCAUUUAAGACAGGGAGGCCAUUCUGGAAAUCAAACUUUAAUUAAGCACACAGCUGGGAGUGGAUAGGGGUCAAAGCCUGGAACUUGCCCCUCCUCCUCAUACUACUAUCCCAGGUGAGAUGUAUUUUCCUGGUAUGAUCCCCAUUGCUGGCAUGCCUGAACCUUUCCCCAGAUAAUUUCAGAAAGUGGCCUGUGAUGCAUGUUCUAAGGGCAGUAACCAAGAAGCCUCAAGUUAUUUGGAUCAUAUUCAAAAGUCUGCGCAUUGAAAAUGGCUUUCUAGUUCUCUGAACUCAAUUAUUCUAACCCUUAGAAAGAUCUGAUGACGAAGUAAUGAAGACAAGGGGGAGACUACAAGAAGCAUUCUGUGGAACCUUACUACGCAAAAGGUAAGUGCUUCAACAGACCUUUGUGAAGGAAAGACAGAAUAUUUAUUAAUAGUGUUUUCAAUUGUGCCGUAAUAGGGAAGAAUUCUAUUUUCCUUUUUUUUUUAAAUUGACUCCUAUACUUAAAAAUGCAGCUUGAUUUUUUUCUUGUGUGUUAGUAAAGUUAAACAAACACCUAUUUCAGAUUUUUUUUUUUUUUUACUUGACUUGCAUUGUGUCACAUAUAUCCAUGCCAGGUUAUAACCUCAAAUUCUC
This 867-nucleotide long non-coding RNA is filed under the name Homo sapiens (human). RNAcentral describes it as "HSALNT0163232". Lineage: Eukaryota; Metazoa; Chordata; Mammalia; Primates; Hominidae. The record is from RNAcentral.